ACUGCUAAUACCACAUAAGCCCACGGCUCGGCAUCGAGCAGAGGGAAAAGGAGCAAUCCGCUUUGAGAUGGCCUCGCGUCCGAUUAGCUAGUUGGUGAGGUAAUGGCCCACCAAGGCGACGAUCGGUAGCCGGACUGAGAGGUUGAACGGCCACAUUGGGACUGAGACACGGCCCAGACCCCUACGGGAGGCAGCAGUGGGGAAUAUUGCACAAUGGGGGAAACCCUGAUGCAGCGACGCCGCGUGGAGGAAGAAGGUCUUCGGAUUGUAAACUCCUGUUGUUGAGGAAGAUAAUGACGGUACUCAACAAGGAAGUGACGGCUAACUACGUGCCAGCAGCCGCGGUAAAACGUAGGUCACAAGCGUUGUCCGGAAUUACUGGGUGUAAAGGGAGCGCAGGCGGGAAGACAAGUUGGAAGUGAAAUCCAUGGGCUCAACCCAUGAACUGCUUUCAAAACUGUUUUUCUUGAGUAGUGCAGAGGUAGGUGGAAUUCCGGUGUAGCGGUGGAAUGCGUAGAUAUCGGGAGGAACACCAGUGGCGAAGGCGGCCUACUGGGCACCAACUGACGCUGAGGCUCGAAAGUGUGGGUAGCAAACAGGAUUAGAUACCCUGGUAGUCCACACUGUAAACGAUGAUUACUAGGUGUUGGAGGAUUGACCCCUUCAGUGCCGCAGUUAACACAAUAAGUAAUCCACCUGGGGAGUACGACCGCAAGGUUGAAACUCAAAGGAAUUGACGGGGGCCCGCACAAGCAGUGGAGUAUGUGGUUUAAUUCGACGCAACGCGAAGAACCUUACCAAGUCUUGACAUCCUGCGACGGACAUAGAAAUAUGUUUUUCCUUCGGGACGCAGAGACAGGUGGUGCAUGGUUGUCGUCAGCUCGUGUCGUGAGAUGUUGGGUUAAGUCCCGCAACGAGCGCAACCCUUAUGGUCAGUUACUACGCAAGAGGACUCUGGCCAGACUGCCGUGACAAAACGGAGGAAGGUGGGGAUGACGUCAAAUCAUCAUGCCCUUUAUGACUUGGGCUACACACGUACUACAAUGGCGUUAAACAAAGAGAAGCAAGACCGCGAGGUGGAGCAAAACUCAGAAACAACGUCCCAGUUCGGACUGCAGGCUGCAACUCGCCUGCACGAAGUCGGAAUUGCUAGUAAUCGCAGAUCAGCAUGCUGCGGUGAAUACGUUCCCGGGCCUUGUACACACCGCCCGUCACACCAUGAGAGCCGGGGGGACCCGAAGUCGGUAGUCUAACCGCAAGGAGGACGCCGCCGAAGGUAAAACUGGUGAUUGGGGUGAAGUCGUAACAAGGUA
This 1313-nucleotide ribosomal RNA is filed under the name metagenome. RNAcentral describes it as "bacterial SSU rRNA". It matches the Rfam family "Bacterial small subunit ribosomal RNA", at positions 159 to 1498 of the family's 1533-position model. The record is from RNAcentral.